AGAGUUUGAUCCUGGCUCAGANCCNUNGCUGGCGGCAGGCCUCAAACAUGCAAGUCUAGGGGUGUAGCAAUACACACCGGCGGACGGGUGCGUAACGCGUGGGAACAUACCUUUCGGUACGGAACAACCCAGGGAAACUUGGGCUAAUACCGUAUACGCCCUAACGGGGAAAGAAUUUCGCCGAAGGAUUGGCCCGCGUUCGAUUAGCUAGUUGGUGAGGUAACGGCUCACCAGGGCUACGAUCGAUAGCUGUUCUGAGAGGAAGAUCAGCCACACUGGGACUGAGACACGGCCCAGACUCCUACGGGAGGCAGCAGUUGGGAAUCUUGGACAAUGGGGGAAACCCUGAUCCAGCCAUGCCGCGUGAGUGAUGAAGGCCUUCGGGUUGUAAAACUCUUUCGACGGGGACGAUAAUGACGGUACCCGUAGAAGAAGCUCCGGCUAACUUCGUGCCAGCAGCCGCGGUAAUACGGAGGAUCCAAGCGUUAUCCGGAUUUAUUGGGUUUAAAGGGUGCGUAGGCGGCCUGUUAAGUCAGGGGUGAAAGACGGUAGCUCAACUAUCGCAGUGCCCUUGAUACUGAUGGGCUUGAAUGUACUUGAGGUAGGCGGAAUGUGACAAGUAGCGGUGAAAUGCAUAGAUAUGUCACAGAACACCAAUUGCGAAGGCAGCUUACUAAAGUAUGAUUGACGCUGAGGCACGAAAGCGUGGGGAUCAAACAGGAUUAGAUACCCUGGUAGUCCACGCCCUAA
RNAcentral lists this ribosomal RNA (750 nucleotides) under uncultured Rhizobium sp. RNAcentral's name for it is "bacterial SSU rRNA". It matches the Rfam family "Bacterial small subunit ribosomal RNA", at positions 8 to 805 of the family's 1533-position model. The record is from RNAcentral. Lineage: Bacteria; Pseudomonadati; Pseudomonadota; Alphaproteobacteria; Hyphomicrobiales; Rhizobiaceae.